GAUGAACGCUGACGGCGUGCCUAAUACAUGCAAGUCGAGCGAACGGACGAGAAGCUUGCUUCUCUGAUGUUAGCGGCGGACGGGUGAGUAACACGUGGAUAACCUACCUAUAAGACUGGGAUAACUUCGGGAAACCGGAGCUAAUACCGGAUAAUAUUUUGAACCGCAUGGUUCAAAAGUGAAAGACGGUCUUGCUGUCACUUAUAGAUGGAUCCGCGCUGCAUUAGCUAGUUGGUAAGGUAACGGCUUACCAAGGCAACGAUGCAUAGCCGACCUGAGAGGGGAAUGGGCCCACCUGGAACUGGGACCCGGCCCAAACCCCCAGGGGAGGCAGAGGUGGGGAAUUUUCCCAAAGGGGGGAAAGCCUGACGGAGCAACCCCGCGUGAGGGAUGAAGGUCUUCGGAUCGUAAAACUUUGUUUUUAGGGAAAAAAAAAUGUGUAAGUAACGGUCCACACUUUGACGGUACCAAAUCAGAAAGCCACGGCUAACCACGU
Molecule: ribosomal RNA, 496 nt
Filed under: uncultured bacterium
Lineage: Bacteria
Description: partial 16S ribosomal RNA
Rfam family: Bacterial small subunit ribosomal RNA
Source: RNAcentral